Molecule: ribosomal RNA, 253 nt
Filed under: uncultured bacterium
Lineage: Bacteria
Description: partial 16S ribosomal RNA
Rfam family: Bacterial small subunit ribosomal RNA
Source: RNAcentral
UACGUAGGGGGCAAGCGUUGUCCGGAAUCAUUGGGCGUAAAGAGCGCGUAGGCGGCCCUGUAAGUCCGCUGUGAAAGUCAAGGGCUCAACCCUUGAAUGCCGGUGGAUACUGCAGGGCUAGAGUCCGGAAGAGGCGAGUGGAAUUCCUGGUGUAGCGGUGAAAUGCGCAGAUAUCAGGAGGAACACCGAUGGCGAAGGCAGCUCGCUGGGACGGUACUGACGCUGAGGUGCGAAAGCGUGGGGAGCAAACAGG